This 182-nucleotide non-coding RNA is filed under the name Sporomusa acidovorans. RNAcentral describes it as "6S / SsrS RNA". It matches the Rfam family "6S / SsrS RNA". From Rfam's summary of the family: E. coli 6S RNA was the first non coding RNA to be sequenced, but its function was unknown until recently. It consists of 184 nucleotides that fold into an extended hairpin structure with a large single-stranded internal bulge. The 6S RNA specifically associates with RNA polymerase holoenzyme containing the sigma70 specificity factor. The record is from RNAcentral. Lineage: Bacteria; Bacillati; Bacillota; Negativicutes; Selenomonadales; Sporomusaceae. RNAcentral also lists the same sequence under 1 other name.
CAUACCCUGCUGUGUGCGUGUAAUGUCUAUAUGUUUUGAGCCAACACAUUUACUGCGGGAGCUUGGCUCUGGUUACAGCAUGUAUGCCCUUGUUCGUUGGGGGACACAUAAAAUAAUCAGGAGAGCACCCACCUGCCGCGGGCAGGUUCAAAACAGAGACAGUACGGCAUAGUGGGGAUUGG